Molecule: long non-coding RNA, 300 nt
Filed under: Androctonus crassicauda
Lineage: Eukaryota; Metazoa; Arthropoda; Arachnida; Scorpiones; Buthidae
Source: RNAcentral
GUGAUACCGUGGUGUAAAUUGGGUGUUAAUUAUUAAUGGACGGUUUAUUUCGGGAUUUAUUCGCCAGGGGAGUUGGUGCUCUUUGGAUUUACGUUUGGAUCCCUUAUAUGACCAGUUUUCCCAGCGUCAUAACACUGGCACAUAAAAUUGGCAGAGAAGUAUUUGAUGAUCUAAUGUUUGCAGAUAUCUAUGAACUGUUAAUUGACAAAGCCAUAAGUGAAGAUGAAAUAAGAGGUUGUCCUUACUCCUGAUCCCAAAGAACAUAGUGAUAAUGACAAAGAAUAUACUGAUCUAAAUGCG